This 464-nucleotide ribosomal RNA is filed under the name uncultured bacterium. RNAcentral's name for it is "partial 16S ribosomal RNA". It matches the Rfam family "Bacterial small subunit ribosomal RNA", at positions 338 to 795 of the family's 1533-position model. The record is from RNAcentral.
CCUACGGGUGGCAGCAGUGGGGAAUCUUCCGCAAUGGGCGAAAGCCUGACGGAGCAACGCCGCGUGAUCGAAUGAAGGCCCUCGGGUUGUAAAGAUCUGUUGACAGGGACGAAUAUGCAAUGCGAAUAGCUUUGUGUAUGACGGUACCUGUUUAGAAAGCUCCGGCUAACUACGUGCCAGCAGCGGCGGCAAUACGUAGGGAGCAUGCGUUGUCCGGAAUUACUGGGCGUAAAGGGCGCGUAGGUGGGUGCUUAAGUCAGGUGUGAAAACUCCGGGCUCAACCUGGGGACUGCACUUGAAACUGGGUGUCUUGAGGGAAGGAGAGGAAAGCGGAAUGCCUAGGGUAGCGGUGAAAUGCGUAGAUAUUGGGUAGAACACCAGUGGCGAAGGCGGCUUUCUGGACUGUACCUGACGCUGAGGCGCGAAAGCGUGGGUAGCGAACGGGAUUAGAUACCCGAGUAGUC